Acanthosepion pharaonis is the source of this 97-nucleotide non-coding RNA. Lineage: Eukaryota; Metazoa; Mollusca; Cephalopoda; Sepiida; Sepiidae. The record is from the annotation of a GenBank genome assembly.
UGACACAUAGGUUCUCAUACGAUCAACGAAGUUAAGCAACGUCGAUCCUGGUCCGUACCUAGAUGGGUGACUGCUUGGGAAUGUCAAGUGCUGUAAG